UUUGGCAAUGAUCACAUUGCCUCUCUAAAAGUGACAAAUUGGCAGCUGUUGCCAGGGAGAGGCCAUUUCCUGAUGGUCCACAUCAAAAUGUUAAUUGAAUCUAGGCCCCAGGGAGAAGCAACUUCCUGUGUAUGCAUGUUAAGAGACAAAAAUGGUGAAGUAUGAUCUUCCAGAAAAGAAAAGAGCCUCAGAUGGGCAUGUGUAUAACUCCAUAAACACACUGCCUGUGGUCAGUUCUCCAGGGUAAGGAGGGCACCGUGCUUGCAGAAAUCCCACCCUAAGGGAAGAGUCAUGGGAAAGAAGUGAGCCUAUAAAGUCCAAGGUGGCCCAAUGUAAUCACAAGGGUUUCUUAAACUCAGAAGAGGGAGGAAGAAAAGUCAGGGUCAGAGUGAUGUGAUGACCAAGACUUCACAACUACUGCUGGUUUUGAUGACAGAAGAGCACCAUGAGCCAAGGAAUGCAGGCAACUUCAAG
This 474-nucleotide long non-coding RNA is filed under the name Homo sapiens (human). RNAcentral describes it as "HSALNT0150377". Lineage: Eukaryota; Metazoa; Chordata; Mammalia; Primates; Hominidae. The record is from RNAcentral.